AUUGAACGCUGGCGGCAGGCCUAACACAUGCAAGUCGAGCGGAGGAAGGGAGCUUGCUCCUGGAUUCAGCGGCGGACGGGUGAGUAAUGCCUAGGAAUCUGCCUGGUAGUGGGGGAUAACGUCCGGAAACGGGCGCUAAUACCGCAUACGUCCUGAGGGAGAAAGUGGGGGAUCUUCGGACCUCACGCUAUCUGAUGAGCCUAGGUCGGAUUAGCUAGUUGGUGGGGUAAAGGCCUACCAAGGCGACGAUCCGUAACUGGUCUGAGAGGAUGAUCAGUCACACUGGAACUGAGACACGGUCCAGACUCCUACGGGAGGCAGCGGUGGGGAAUAUUGGACAAUGGGCGAAAGCCUGAUCCAGCCAUGCCGCGUGUGUGAAGAAGGUCUUCGGAUUGUAAAGCACUUUAAGUUGGGAGGAAGGGCAGUAAGUUAAUACCUUGCUGUUUUGACGGUACCAACAGAAUAAGCACCGGCUAACUUCGUG
RNAcentral lists this ribosomal RNA (484 nucleotides) under uncultured bacterium. RNAcentral describes it as "partial 16S ribosomal RNA". It matches the Rfam family "Bacterial small subunit ribosomal RNA", at positions 30 to 507 of the family's 1533-position model. The record is from RNAcentral.